GCGCUCGCGCGCCGUGUCGCACCCUUCGGGUGCUGGCGCUCCGCGAGGGCGCGGCACGAGCCGCGACGGCCUGUCGGCCUUGCGAGGCUCUGCCUCGAUGCCGGCUACCAUCUGCGCUUGGGGCUUAGGGCUUGUAGCUCAGUUGGUUAGAGCGCGCGCUUGAUAAGCGUGAGGUUCGGAGGUUCAAGUCCUCCCAGGCCCACCAUCUCUGAUGGAAGCUGGGUGGCUUCCUAUCUCCUCUACAAAAGGUAUCAGGGGCCGUAGCUCAGCUGGGAGAGCGCCUGCUUUGCAAGCAGGAUGUCGUCGGUUCGAUCCCGUCCGGCUCCACCAUUACCUUUGGUGUUGAGUAGAGAUGAGGUGUCAGAAAAAAAGUCAUUCGUAAAAAAGGUUUGUGGUGAGCGUCUGGCUUGCCGCUUGUUCUGUUUGACAUUGUAAAGAGAAGAUUUGUUCGAACUUCAUGGCAGUAAUGCCGUGAUUUGUCGCGGGAGACGCUCAAUCUCCCGCAUAUGAUGGGCUUGCCUAACCGCACCCUCGAACCGAUCUCGAGAAGCUGGUCUUUUUGUGCCAAU
RNAcentral lists this transfer RNA (569 nucleotides) under Mesorhizobium ciceri. RNAcentral describes it as "partial 16S-23S ribosomal RNA intergenic spacer". The stretch from base 128 to 202 matches the Rfam family "tRNA". The record is from RNAcentral. Lineage: Bacteria; Pseudomonadati; Pseudomonadota; Alphaproteobacteria; Hyphomicrobiales; Phyllobacteriaceae.